This 299-nucleotide ribosomal RNA is filed under the name Comamonas testosteroni. RNAcentral's name for it is "partial 23S ribosomal RNA". It matches the Rfam family "Bacterial large subunit ribosomal RNA", at positions 1077 to 1376 of the family's 2925-position model. Lineage: Bacteria; Pseudomonadati; Pseudomonadota; Betaproteobacteria; Burkholderiales; Comamonadaceae. The record is from RNAcentral.
GGGAAGGCUAAAACAGUCAGGAUGUUGGCUUAGAAGCAGCCAUCAUUUAAAGAAAGCGUAAUAGCUCACUGAUCGAGUCGUCCUGCGCGGAAGAUGUAACGGGGCUAAGCCAGUUACCGAAGCUGCGGAUGUGCAAUUUAUUGCACGUGGUAGGAGAGCGUUCUGUAAGCCUGUGAAGGUGUCUGGUAACGGAUGCUGGAGGUAUCAGAAGUGCGAAUGCUGACAUGAGUAGCGUUAAAGGGGGUGAAAAGCCCCCUCGCCGUAAGCGCAAGGUUUCCUACGCAACGUUCAUCGGCGUA